CUUCCUCCGCGAGAAAUCCACCACGGCUUCCCGGAAGGGUGCAAGGGCGAGGGCGCGGGGACAGCCGCCGAGAACUAGGCCCGGGCCCCGCCGAGCCCCUUGGCCCCGCGUCCCCACGCGCCCGGCCCGCCCAGCCUCGCGCGCCCCGGACGGCGGGCCCCGGAGCGCGUGCGCGCACGUAGGCACGCACACGCACACGCAUGCGCACUCCACACGCACACCGACGCACGCCGCCUUCCGCCCGGAACUCACGCCGGCGUUGCUGUGACGGCGAAGCCGCGUGGAAGUUCCCGCGUGUGGAUCGCCGGGGAAGUUUUAUCUGUCUCUCUCUCUCUCCCCUUCACCUCCUCUCUCUGUGUCUGCCAGUUUCAGUAGCAAUCAUCUUCCGACGGAAAGCCCUUGCCCUCGAGGCUGUGUUCAGGGUCCCUUGCGGUGGGGACUUCCGGGGUGGCGGGCAGAGACCCCCUUCCCCGCCCCAGGGGGGUCGUCUCUCCCCUCCGAGCCGGGAAGGGCCGGGAUCGCACCAGCAUGCCCGCCAGGGAAGAGGCGAUUCUGCAUCUCGCAGCGCUGAUGGCGUCGCCCGCGUCCCGGGCGUGACGGGACACAGCCCUCAGCCGUGCGCGCACGGAAAUCAAUCAAUACUAUGCAAAGCGGGCAGCCGCGCUCCUCCGGCGAGAGGGAGGCCCCAAUCAGCAGCACAAAGCCGGCCCCCGCCGGGCUCCCGCCCUCCGCAGAGGCGCGGCUGCGGGCCGCUGCGGGACACUCUUCACCUUCCAAGUAGCACACACGCGCGCCGCGCGCGGGCCCGGCUCCAGCUCCGCUUUGGCACGUUGCGCUCCGCUGGCAUGGCUGCUUGGUCUCCACACGAUGCCUAG
RNAcentral lists this long non-coding RNA (875 nucleotides) under Oryctolagus cuniculus (rabbit). RNAcentral describes it as "lncRNA (ENSOCUG00000034965.1)". The record is from RNAcentral. Lineage: Eukaryota; Metazoa; Chordata; Mammalia; Lagomorpha; Leporidae.